CCGGGACCAAGACCAGGACCCGGACCGGGACCCGAACCCGGACCAGGACCAAGACCAGGACCGAGACCCGGACCAGGACCAGGACCCAGACCCGGAAUAGGGCUGUGACCAGAACUCAUACAAUAUAAGAUCAGUCUCUUCCAUAACACAAUAAACACAAGGACUCAAAGAAUAGAAGCAGCAGACAUUAGUAAUCAUAAACAGGUGGGCAUAUAUCUUUAAUAACUGAACAUGUUCUGCUGCCGUGUUGUUCCUCACAGAACACAUGGGCCUAAUCCUAAAGGACUCACAGAUUUAAUUUAUCUCAGGUGCUAAUUAACCUUAGUGAGUGAGUGUGUGAGGCCACAUGGGCUCAAAUAGGUAUAUAUGGGAUUGGGUCAGCACUUCACGAGAGCACAUGUUACCUUGGCAACGUUUAAUGACAAAGAUGACACUUGCCGGUUAGGGAAUUUUCAAUUUGAGUUUAUUUUUGAAAAUGCAAUGAAAACAAUCGGCUACAGCAAUUUAUUGAUAUAAGAAAAUAUAAUUUCUACUUUUCAAUACUUCAGUAUAAAGGAUGUAUUGAAUAGUUUAGGUGAUUAUUGGCCUACAGACACUAGUCAUAAGUCAGAACGGGCUGCAAUUGGCUGAAAAAGGUACAAGUAGUAAUAUGAAGAGCCAAAAGAUCCGGCUCUUGUUGGUGAGCUGAUCCAAAUGAUCUGGCUUGCUAAAACAAGGCCGAAAUUCCCCAUCUGGUCUCGCAUUGACUGUAGCGUCGUUUUGUUGUUUACCUUCCUAAUUUCACUGUGGUCUCCGCGGUAAACGUCACAACGCUUUGAACUGCAGGUAAUUCCCUUAGGCUUAGGUGAAGUCAUUCACUGAUGCGGACUCACGGAAAGGGUUCAGUAAGUGUGGACUCAAACCCUCACGCCCUUUGGAACUCGACAUUGGGACAGCCCUAAAGCCUUAAAGGAGGCAUAUUAUACCACAAGGUAUGAGUUUGAUUAGCCUUACAAUCCGUUUCAAAUAUCUGCCUCAUGUGACAACACUUUUGGGCGUUUCCACCUAGAUCUGUGCUAAGGAUGUCAUAUGAGGCAGAUUUUCGAAACGGCUUGUAAGGCUAAUCACAGUCACACCUGGUGGUAUAAUAAGUCUCCUUUAAUAAUUUCGCGAGAACGCGCAGCAAAGUCUGUGAGUCCGUGAGUCCGGACAUUGGGAUUGGGCCAAGGAAUCAAUACUCAGUUUAAAGUCAUCACAACUAGGGUUGGGUAUCGUUUGGACAGCUUGCAUUAUAUAGGUCUGCAUUAAAUCAGGUUCUAUAUUAGGC
Molecule: long non-coding RNA, 1306 nt
Organism: Gadus macrocephalus (Pacific cod)
Lineage: Eukaryota; Metazoa; Chordata; Actinopteri; Gadiformes; Gadidae
Exons: 2
Source: RefSeq, a predicted model, not a curated record